Molecule: non-coding RNA, 28 nt
Organism: Acinetobacter sp.
Lineage: Bacteria; Pseudomonadati; Pseudomonadota; Gammaproteobacteria; Moraxellales; Moraxellaceae
Source: Rfam
GUUCACUGCCAUGUAGGCAGCUUAGAAA